This 434-nucleotide ribosomal RNA is filed under the name uncultured Anaerovorax sp. RNAcentral describes it as "bacterial SSU rRNA". It matches the Rfam family "Bacterial small subunit ribosomal RNA", at positions 341 to 792 of the family's 1533-position model. Lineage: Bacteria; Bacillati; Bacillota; Clostridia; Peptostreptococcales; Anaerovoracaceae. The record is from RNAcentral.
ACGGGAGGCAGCAGUGGGGAAUAUUGCACAAUGGGGGAAACCCUGAUGCAGCAACGCCGCGUGAAGGAUGAAGGUCUUCGGAUCGUAAACUUCUGUCCUUGGGGACGAAUAAUGACGGUACCCUUGGAGGAAGCCCCGGCUAACUACGUGCCAGCAGCCGCGGUAAUACGUAGGGGGCAAGCGUUAUCCGGAAUUAUUGGGCGUAAAGAGUGCGUAGGCGGUUUGUUAAGCGCGGGGUGAAAGGCAAUGGCUCAACCAUUGUUAGCCUUGCGAACUGGCAGACUUGAGUGCAGGAGGGGAAAGUGGAAUUCCUAGUGUAGCGGUGAAAUGCGUAGAUAUUAGGAGGAACACCAGUGGCGAAGGCGACUUUCUGGACUGUAACUGACGCUGAGGCACGAAAGUGUGGGGAGCAAACAGGAUUAGAUACCCUGGUA